This 1491-nucleotide ribosomal RNA is filed under the name metagenome. Its description in RNAcentral is "bacterial SSU rRNA". It matches the Rfam family "Bacterial small subunit ribosomal RNA". The record is from RNAcentral.
AGAGUUUGAUCAUGGCUCAGAUUGAACGCUGGCGGCAUGCCUUACACAUGCAAGUCGAACGGCAGCACGAGAGCUUGCUCUUGGUGGCGAGUGGCGAACGGGUGAGUAAUAUAUCGGAACGUACCCUAGAGUGGGGGAUAACGUAGCGAAAGUUACGCUAAUACCGCAUACGAUCUACGGAUGAAAGUGGGGGAUCGCAAGACCUCAUGCUCAUGGAGCGGCCGAUAUCUGAUUAGCUAGUUGGUGGGGUAAAAGCUCACCAAGGCGACGAUCAGUAGCUGGUCUGAGAGGACGACCAGCCACACUGGAACUGAGACACGGUCCAGACUCCUACGGGAGGCAGCAGUGGGGAAUUUUGGACAAUGGGCGCAAGCCUGAUCCAGCAAUGCCGCGUGAGUGAAGAAGGCCUUCGGGUUGUAAAGCUCUUUUGUCAGGGAAGAAACGGUGGACUCUAAUACAGAUCACUAAUGACGGUACCUGAAGAAUAAGCACCGGCUAACUACGGGCCAGCAGCCGCGGUAAUACGUAGGGUGCAAGCGUUAAUCGGAAUUACUGGGCGUAAAGCGUGCGCAGGCGGUUGUGCAAGACAGAUGUGAAAUCCCCGGGCUCAACCUGGGAAUUGCAUUUGUGACUGCACGGCUAGAGUGUGUCAGAGGGGGGUAGAAUUCCACGUGUAGCAGUGAAAUGCGUAGAGAUGUGGAGGAAUACCGAUGGCGAAGGCAGCCCCCUGGGAUAACACUGACGCUCAUGCACGAAAGCGUGGGGAGCAAACAGGAUUAGAUACCCUGGUAGUCCACGCCCUAAACGAUGUCUACUAGUUGUCGGGUCUUAAUUGACUUGGUAACGCAGCUAACGCGUGAAGUAGACCGCCUGGGGAGUACGGUCGCAAGACUAAAACUCAAAGGAAUUGACGGGGACCCGCACAAGCGGUGGAUGAUGUGGAUUAAUUCGAUGCAACGCGAAAAACCUUACCUACCCUUGACAUGUCUGGAAUCCUUGAGAGAUCAGGGAGUGCUCGAAAGAGAAUCAGAACACAGGUGCUGCAUGGCUGUCGUCAGCUCGUGUCGUGAGAUGUUGGGUUAAGUCCCGCAACGAGCGCAACCCUUGUCAUUAGUUGCUACGAAAGGGCACUCUAAUGAGACUGCCGGUGACAAACCGGAGGAAGGUGGGGAUGACGUCAAGUCCUCAUGGCCCUUAUGGGUAGGGCUUCACACGUCAUACAAUGGUACAUACAGAGGGCCGCCAACCCGCGAGGGGGAGCUAAUCCCAGAAAGUGUAUCGUAGUCCGGAUUGUAGUCUGCAACUCGACUACAUGAAGUUGGAAUCGCUAGUAAUCGCGGAUCAGCAUGUCGCGGUGAAUACGUUCCCGGGUCUUGUACACACCGCCCGUCACACCAUGGGAGCGGGUUUCACCAGAAGUGGGUAGCCUAACCGCAAGGAGGGCGCUCACCACGGUGGGAUUCGUGACUGGGGUGAAGUCGUAACAAGGUA